Molecule: RNA transcript, 2467 nt
Organism: Neopsephotus bourkii (Bourke's parrot)
Lineage: Eukaryota; Metazoa; Chordata; Aves; Psittaciformes; Psittacidae
Gene name: translocating chain-associated membrane protein 1-like 1
Exons: 11
Source: RefSeq, a predicted model, not a curated record
UUUUAAGAAAGAUUAAAGCCAUUUACACUUCUAAACACUUUAGAAUGUUAUUUAGUAAAAGAAUAAGUUGUCAGGUAAAGGGACAUAAUUCAAGGUCUGACCCUAUACAGCAAAUGGUAAAGGUUUUGUAACAAGGUGAGCCUCCAUAUUGUGGAGAUGAAUAAUACUUUUGGGACCUCUUUUGAUUUAAAUCACGUAGGAGAACAUUUUGAUGGAGCUGAUGGCAUAAUCUUCUAGUUUUAGGUGUUUAUAGUCUACCUUGUUGAAAACACUGAUACUUUUACUCUGCUUCUCUUUUAAUUUCAGGUCCCACCCAAGGUCGCCAUCAUGUUUGUUGCUCUGCAGUACAAUGUCACCUAUACCAUUGAUGACAACACUGAGCAAUUUGAUUUUUAUGACUAUGGUCCCAAAGACAUUGCCACAAUCGGCUUCUACAUGCUUGUAGCUAUUAAAGUGCAUGCUGUAAUCCAGGAGUGCAUAUUAGAUAAAAUUAAUAGGCAUCUGCAGCUGUCAGAACGGGAGAAGAGCAAAUUCAAUGAAUCAGGACAGCUUGCAUUGUUCUACUUGUUUUCAUUUAUAUGGGGAGCAAGUAUUUUGAAUGCAGAAGAAUUCUCAAUGAACCUAACCUCGUUCUGGAAAGAUUAUCCCUUUUCUCGUAUGCUUUUUCAGGAAAAAUUCUUCUAUGUUUGCCAGAUAGCCUAUUGGAUUCAUGCACUGCCGGAGCUAUACUUCCAAAAGGUCCAAAAGGAAGAUAUUCCAAGGCAGCUAUGUUAUAUUUGCCUUUACAUUACUCAUAUCUCUGGUGCCUAUAUAUUAAAUUUGCAGCAUUUGGGGCUAAUUCUGGUGGUACCUCACUAUUUGGUGGAAUUCAUUUUUCAUGCCUUGCGUCUCUUCUACUUCCCUGAUGAAAACAUGCAAAAAGGAUUUAUCAUUUGGGCUUUACUUUUCAUAAUGGUGCGUCUUUUGACCCUAACUUUAUCUGUCCUCACGUUUGGAUUUGGUCUGGCAAGAGCAGAGAAUCCAGGUUUUUCCAUAGCAGAUGGAAACUUCAAUACCCUCCCUGUGAGGAUUGGCUGCCUGGGUGCUGUUUGUCUAACACAGGCCUGGAUGAUGCGGAAAUUUGUACAUUUUCAGCUGAAGAAAUGGAGAGAGCGUGUUAAGGACCAGAUUCCAGAGAAAAAAACAACUAACCCAAAGAAGAAACGAACAAAAAAGGAACCAGGUAAAGCUAACUUUGCCAAUGGAGCAGCAAAACCAGAAGAUGGAGCAUCACCAAGAACAAGAAAAUCAAAACCAGUAUGAGGAUAUAAGCUAGUAUCAGAAAACAACGUUUGAUGGAAGACUGUUGACUUAAAAAAUUGACACCGCAGAGCUGUGUCUUGUUAUUUUAAUGGACACUAUCAGGUUAUAUUUUUUAAAUAUGUUUGUUGAUAACUCUACAUUUAUGACAAGAUCAUCUCUGAGGUACUUUGGUAGGCAUCUCCAAGAUUCACAACAGCUGAAUCGGCAUGAACUUCUGGUUCAGUAAUCAGAAGUUAUUACAUUUCUGUAAUAUUUGCAUUACAGACACUGCAGAAGGCUGUGUAAAUCUAAGUUUAUUUUAUUAAGUCUAUUUGUUUGUUUUUAGAAAAUGAGAAUUCUGUACCAAAAAGGUCUUACCGUGCCUGUCUGUCUCCCCUUCUCUUCCCUCCCCAAGAAUUUUUUCUUUCUUCAUCUUAUGUGGAAUAACAGUUAUAUCUGAAGUAGCCUGGUAAAAAAAGGAAACAUUUUCUAUACUUGAUUUCUCUUUAAAAAUUGCAGGUUUAGAAAGAGGACAAAUUCUGACAGGACAACACUAAUCUUUCAGUAUGAAGAACAAUUAAAUGGGCUGAAGAAAUGGGAGGCUUCUCCUGCACUAAUUGUUCAAAUGGCAAUUGCUCUUUGAAUAUUCAGGAGACAAAUAAGUUAAGAGAGAUGUCCUUGUGAGUGAGAACACUUCCUGUAGUAGAAUAGAUGGUGGAAAAUGGUGACUGUCUGGGUUACUGUCACGAUAAAAAUGAAUGACAGCAUCUGAAAGGUGAGCUGUGGGUUACGUUUCCAUACAUCUGGGUUUCCGCUGGCUUUUUUUUGACUGAGAAAAUGUUGGAAUCAGAUUGGAUUUAAUUGGUAUGUCUCACAAAUUCAGCUUACGGUCAAGAAUGUCUCUUGUGUACAUCUUUGGCCAAAUUUUUAAUACAUGUGGCCUUCUAAAGUCUGCUUUAAAAGGCAUAUGCACCAGCAGGUGGAGCAAAUAGACACAACCAUUAAAUGCUACAGUUCUACAGCUACAUUUACUAUUAUUUGUGGGUUAAUUUUGUCAAGCAUCACAUAUCAAUGAAAAGUCAAAGCUCUUUAUGUAAUGAAGAAUAUAGUGAUUAAAUCAGAAAUAAUUUUGAAGUUAUCUAUUUAUAAUUGCUAGAACAGGAACUAAAUGUUAAAAAGGGGUGAA